ACCCGCUGAACUUAAGCAUAUCAAUAAGCGGAGGAAUAGAAACCAACAGGGAUUGCCCUAGUAACGGCGAGUGAAGCGGCAACAGCUCAAAUUUGAAAUCUGGCGCAAGCCCGAGUUGUAAUUUGUAGAGGAUGUUUCUGGCGACGCGCCUUCCGAGUUCCCUGGAACGGGACGCCAUAGAGGGUGAGAGCCCCGUACGGUUGGAUGCCUAGCCUCUGUGAAACUCCUUCGACGAGUCGAGUAGUUUGGGAAUGGCUGCUCUAAAUGGGAGGUAUACGUCUUCUAAAGCUAAAUACCGGCCAGAGACCGAUAGCGCACAAGUAGAGUGAUCGAAAGAUGAAAAGCACUUUGAAAAGAGGGUUAAAAAGUACGUGAAAUUGUUGAAAGGGAAGCGUUCAUGACCAGACUUGGGCAGGUUGAUCAUCCGUGGUUCUCCGCGGUGCACUCUGCCUGCCCAGGCCAGCAUCAGUUCGCUCCGGGGGAUAAAGGCUCUGGGAAUGUGGCUCCUUCAGGAGUGUUAUAGCCCACUGUGUAAUACCCUGGGGUGGACUGAGGUUCGCGCUCUGCAAGGAUGCUGGCGUAAUGGUCAUCAACGACCCGUCUUGAAACACGGACC
RNAcentral lists this ribosomal RNA (616 nucleotides) under Clonostachys rosea. RNAcentral's name for it is "eukaryotic LSU rRNA". It matches the Rfam family "Eukaryotic large subunit ribosomal RNA", at positions 23 to 667 of the family's 3401-position model. The record is from RNAcentral. Lineage: Eukaryota; Fungi; Ascomycota; Sordariomycetes; Hypocreales; Bionectriaceae.